ACCCCGUACGACGAAGAAACGUGGAAUGAAGAAUCGUAUUCGUCGAAGUGAGCAGAAACGGACGUGAUUUCGCACCUGCCAAAUCGCACAAGAGGCUCUCGUGACUGGCCAACCAUUCGCUGGCCGUUUGUUACUUUCAUUUCUAUCCUAUCUUGCAUCUCUAUUCUGCCGCGCGAGGUCGAGGACAUUUCAAGAGAGCAAUGGAGUAUACGAGAGAGAUAAAUUGACAAGGAGAGAAGGAUGGUAACUGUACUUUCGCUACUUAUGUGAUUGAACCUUAUAACAUUGGCGAGUAGCAAAAUAUUUCGACACCGGCUGAUGAAGACAACGACACGUACGAUCCAUCGUGGAACCUGCAGUCGACGAAACCUCCGAGGAUGGAUUUUGUCAAAUAAUCGCGCUGAUUCGAACGGAGAAACUGGAACAGCAGCGUUCUCCAAUUGAGGUUGGGGUAGCAACGGAUUACAACGAAGUCGUGUUCCCGGGUUCACGGGGUCAGCGGGACACGUCGGGCGGAUAACCCCGACAAAAAUACAUAGAAGGUGCUACGAGAAGGUCAGAAGUUGAGAGCUGGUAUUCCCGCCGGUAUGACAAGGCCUCGGAAAUCGGUCAUACCUUUGAAACCCCGGAGAAUCCAUUCUCUUGCUGUAGAUGUCUUCGUCUAUUAACGUUUACUUGGUCUCUUCAAUUCUAGAAUAUACCGCUCUUUGAACUUGACCAAUGACCAAUAUCGUUCUUCUAUGCACUUCUAUCUAAUUUUAACGGCGUGACGUGGGACAGAA
This 782-nucleotide long non-coding RNA is filed under the name Neodiprion pinetum (white pine sawfly). RNAcentral describes it as "uncharacterized LOC124214054". The record is from RNAcentral. Lineage: Eukaryota; Metazoa; Arthropoda; Insecta; Hymenoptera; Diprionidae.